Molecule: microRNA, 22 nt
Filed under: Human betaherpesvirus 5
Lineage: Duplodnaviria; Heunggongvirae; Peploviricota; Herviviricetes; Herpesvirales; Orthoherpesviridae
Description: hcmv-miR-UL36*
Source: RNAcentral
GUGCGUGGAUUUUUUCUAUUCU